RNAcentral lists this ribosomal RNA (274 nucleotides) under uncultured bacterium. Its description in RNAcentral is "partial 16S ribosomal RNA". It matches the Rfam family "Bacterial small subunit ribosomal RNA", at positions 523 to 796 of the family's 1533-position model. The record is from RNAcentral.
CUACGGAGGGUCCAAGCGUUAUCCGGAAUCAUUGGGUUUAAAGGGUCCGCAGGCGGUCAAUUAAGUCAGAGGUGAAAGCCCAUCGCUCAACGAUGGAACUGCCUUUGAUACUGGUUGACUUGAGUUAUACGGAAGUAGAUAGAAUAAGUAGUGUAGCGGUGAAAUGCAUAGAUAUUACCUAGAAUACCGAUUGCGAAGGCAGUCUACUACGUAUAUACUGACGCUGAGGGACGAAAGCGUGGGGAGCGAACAGGAUUAGAAACCCUAGUAGUCC